UGCUGUGCUAGCAAUCAGUGAGACUCCGUGGGCGUAGAACCCUCCGAGCCAGGUGUGGGAUAUAAUCUCGUGGCGCGCCGUUUUUUAAGCCCGUCGGAAAAGCGCAGUAUUCGGGUGGGAGUGACCCGAUUUUCCAGGUGCCGUCCGUCACCCCUUUCUUUGACUAGGAAAGGGAACUCCCUGACCCCUUGCGCUUCCCGAGUGAGGCAAUGCCUCACCCUGCUUCGGCUCGCGCACGGUGCGCGCACCCACUGACCUGCGCCCACUGUCUGGCACUCCCUAGUGAGAUGAACCCGGUACCUCAGAUGGAAAUGCAGAAAUCACCCGUCUUCUGCGUCGCUCACGCUGGGAGCUGUAGACCGGAGCUGUUCCUAUUCAGCCAUCUUGGCUCCUCCCCUGACUGAUGUCCUCCUUAUAGGAAUGGGAAAUUCAGAUGCAGACAGGUGCUGAAGACCAUGUGAAGGCACAGGGAGGAGGUGGCCAUCUGCAAGCCAAGGAGAGAAGCCUCAGAAGAAACCAACCCUGCCAACACCGUGACCUCAGACUCCAGCCCCCAGAACUAGCCAUAGUUUGUCUUCCACAACUGGAGGUUUGAAAAGAAGGAUGAGGACACUGAAUCUCAGAGACGUCAAGUUCUUUCAUCGAGAUUCCAUAGAAUGUUCCCUGUUUCUUCAUCUAUGACAUGGGGAUAAUGUGAGUAUACCUACAUCAGAGGGCUGCGAUGAAGACUAAAUAAGCUCCUGCCAUCAAAAGUUGGAGUCUGUUUCCCCACGCCUUGAAUCUGGGCUGGCUCUAUGAUCCACUUUGGACAACAGAAUUUGGUGGAAGUGAUGCUAUGCCAAUGCUGAGGUGAGGCCUCAAGAGGCCUUGUGGGCUGUGACUCUUUUGGAACGCUGCCUAGCUGUCACGUGAACAAGGCUACUGCAUGAUGAGAGACCAUAUGGAGCCAAAACAUGCCUUUCCAGCUGAGGCCCUCCUAGUCCAGCCAGCCCUAGAUGCACAAGCUGGUGACCAAAGAUACAUGAGUGAGUCCAGAUGAGAAGUCCCUCGUUGAGCCCAGCCCAAUUGCUGAUCCACUGACUUGUGAGUAUUGUCUCCACCAGCCCACAGAUGGAUAUUCUUUGUUCUUAUCAACCUCCUCAUCAAAUACUUCAACCACUGACUGCCAGGCUGGCCUGUGCUGAGCAGAGGAGAUUAAAAGGAUUAUCCAGGCUUCUGGUUGAUAUUAGUUCUUCAGGGAGGCGAUGGAAUAUAGAUAAAUGACACGGAGCUUGCUGGAAUUCCAUCUCUGUCACUUGCAAACUGUGUGAUUCUGG
This 1316-nucleotide long non-coding RNA is filed under the name Homo sapiens (human). RNAcentral describes it as "HSALNT0267264". The record is from RNAcentral. Lineage: Eukaryota; Metazoa; Chordata; Mammalia; Primates; Hominidae.